GCUCCGUAGGUGAACCUGCGGAGGGAUCAUUACAGAGUUCUCGCCCUCGCGGGUAGAUCUCCCACCCACUGUUAUCGUUACUGUGUUGCUUUGGCGGGCCGCCGGGCCCCGCUCGGCCGCCGGCUCCGGCUGGCGCGCGCCCGCCAGAGGCCCAGCAAACUCUGAAUGUUAGUGUCGUCUGAGUACUAUAUAAUAGUUAAAACUUUCAACAACGGAUCUCUUGGUUCU
RNAcentral lists this unclassified non-coding RNA (228 nucleotides) under plant metagenome. RNAcentral's name for it is "partial contains small subunit ribosomal RNA, internal transcribed spacer 1, and 5.8S ribosomal RNA". The record is from RNAcentral.